CACCUAGGACAGAAAAUUAAGGUACUAGAGCCACCUUCUCCAGCAAGUCUGGAAACCAGCUGACUCAUAAAAGUCCAGCAAAGUGACCACUUGAGAAGUGAUUAGGGAUGGUUGAUGACUGUCUCUCAGGAGUUCUGCUGAGCUCAGCUAAUGAGAUUUUGCUUGGAAUUAAAAUCAAAUUUUGGUCCAUCCACUAGGAGAUAAAGAAGCUAAGGUUAUGCUUCCUGAGCUGACCCUUCCUGUCAAAGGGGAAUUUUGAGCUCUGAGUUGGUCUCUGCCAAAAUCGCCUCUGAAGAGGUGUUGCGUAAACAACAGAUCCCAAAAGGACAAACAGAAUGUUGUUGGAUUUUGCUUCCCAGAAAGUUCUG
Molecule: long non-coding RNA, 368 nt
Organism: Talpa occidentalis (Iberian mole)
Lineage: Eukaryota; Metazoa; Chordata; Mammalia; Eulipotyphla; Talpidae
Exons: 3
Source: RefSeq, a predicted model, not a curated record